This is a long non-coding RNA of Drosophila gunungcola (fruit fly), 589 nucleotides long. RefSeq lists it as uncharacterized. The transcript has 3 exons. Lineage: Eukaryota; Metazoa; Arthropoda; Insecta; Diptera; Drosophilidae. The record is from RefSeq and is a predicted model, not a curated record.
GCGUACACUGCAAUAAGACUUGAGUUUUAAUUUAAUUAAUGCGUUUUAAAUAUUAUUUUCGUUUAAUUCCAGAAAAACUAUUUCAAAACAAAAGGUAAUUUAUAUAUAUUUCAUAAAUUUAAAUUUUUUGUUUUGUGAACUCGUUUCGUUUAUUUGUGUGCUCUCUUUUUUCUCUCUUCCUUUUACUUCUACCUAGUGUGGACUUACAUCUACAUACAAGUAGUGUUUUUUAGGGUGGACCUAAGAACACAAAUUAUGUGAACAAAAAUAUCUUCAGUAGGAUAUUAAGUCCAAGUUUGAUAAUGGAGCUUAAUUAUGGCGGGACUAGGGACAGGGAAGGUUUUGCGUCCUACAUUCAUUUAAAUGAAACAUUAUUCGAGUCACAAAGAAGAGACGGUUACCGCUUCACAGACCAUUUUAAAGACCUUCGACUGACCUUCACUAGGGCCAAAAAUUAAACUUAUAAGGGUAAAAGUAUGGCCAAAAAGAUGAGAGAGGACGAAAACGGCCAGGAGUAAUACAAUAAGUUUUAAAGCAUGUUUAUAUUAAAAAAAAUUAAAUAAAUAAAAAUUGGAAUUGACAAAAGAAA